UCUCCCAUACCUUCCACUGGCACUGGCUACCUCAUCUCACUCAGAACCUGGCACUCUAGAACCUCAGGCCAAGUGACAUCAUCACAGUGUCCUGUUACCUUGACAACCAACCUCAGCAUCUUGAGAUGGCUGCCAUUCUCUUAUAUCUCUCUCCAUUGCCAGCACCAGAACAGAUCAACAAUUAGUCCUGGAAAUGCCUUGUAUGCUCAGAGAGGUCAUUGUUGGGUUGUGUGUAUGUGCUUGUGGAGGUCAGAGGACAACCUGAACUCUUGCUCUCAGUAACUUAGAAUCUAUGUUAAAAUGUCUCUUGGCACCAGCCUGCCCGAUGAUCAGAGUAUGAUGCCAGGAUACACAAGUUGGAAGAAAAGAACCAACCCCAAAUGGCUCUCUGUCCUCUCCUGUUCAACAGGAAUGGCCUUUGGAUACCUCAACUUUGUGAGAACAGUAAGACUCAGAUGUUGGAAUGACCUGAGCCAGGGACAGAAGGUCCUGUCUAGACAAGGACCCCAGCAUCCCACAGAACCGUCCCCAAAGGAACAAACCUGCUACCUGGAGCUAACGACUGAGCAGGGGAAGAAGGGGGCCAUGAAUCUUCCCUUUGAAUGAGGCUCCAAGCCAAGUGCCAGGCAACUGCUGUGAAUCUCUAAAGGCCCAUCUCAGAGCCACCUCCAGCAAGAAGAUUCUGUAUGGCUCCCUUUCCUCUCCCCACAUCUAAAGCAUUCUUAUUUAAAUGACUUAUGGCCUUGAGACAAACAAAAUGACCUAAGCCUAUCUUUGGGCUUUAGCUAGGAGUAGAGUACUAUUAAAUGAUGUUAAGAACA
Molecule: long non-coding RNA, 821 nt
Organism: Mastomys coucha (southern multimammate mouse)
Lineage: Eukaryota; Metazoa; Chordata; Mammalia; Rodentia; Muridae
Exons: 3
Source: RefSeq, a predicted model, not a curated record